Molecule: ribosomal RNA, 442 nt
Filed under: uncultured bacterium
Lineage: Bacteria
Description: partial 16S ribosomal RNA
Rfam family: Bacterial small subunit ribosomal RNA
Source: RNAcentral
CCUACGGGGUGCAGCAGUGGGGAAUAUUGGGCAAUGGGCGCAAGCCUGACCCAGCAACGCCGCGUGAAGGAAGAAGGCUUUCGGGUCGUAAACUUCUUUUAUGAGGGAAGAGCAGAAGACGGUACCUCUUGAAUAAGCUACGGCUAACUACGUCCCAGCAGCCGCGGUAAUACGUAGGUGGCAAGCGUGGUCCGGAUUUAGUGGGUGUAAAGGGCGUGUAGCCGGGCUGACAAGUCAGAUGUGAAAGCCGGGGGCUCAACCCCCGAACUGCAUUGGAAACUGUUGGUCUUGAGUAUCGGAGAGGCAGGCGGAAUUCCUAGUGUAGCGGUGAAAUGCGUAGAUAUAAGGAGGAACACCAGUGGCGAAGGCGGCCUGCUGGACGGCAACUGACGGUGAGGCGCGAAAGCGUGGGGAGCAAACAGGAUUAGAUACCCUUGUAGUC